This 1226-nucleotide long non-coding RNA is filed under the name Strigops habroptila (Kakapo). RNAcentral describes it as "lncRNA (ENSSHBG00005016902.1)". Lineage: Eukaryota; Metazoa; Chordata; Aves; Psittaciformes; Psittacidae. The record is from RNAcentral.
GGUGUGUGUUUCUGCAUUUCCUGACUAGACUACAGGCAUCUGUAAAUAUUUCAGAAAACAGAGUGGGAAAGAAUUACUCUAUAGAAAGUAUAGAUCUUUUCUGAGAUCUUUUCUGAGAUCUUUUCUCACAAGGAAUGAGUUCUACUGCCUCAGUGACUACAUUAUGAAAGCAUGUUAUACAAUUCUCUGUUGAUACCCAUAGACAGAUGUAUUUAGGGUUUUUGGAAACUUCAUGUAAUUUAGGCAUAAAACUUGAAGUGUGUUUAUAGUUCCUCAUUAAUAAUAGUUGAGAAUUAUGCUCAUCUAAGGCACCACACAUAAAUUCUUAAUGUUCAAACAUUCAUUAUAUGCAUGUGAUGGUUAGAAGUUGCCAUAGGAAGAUAAAAGCCAGUGAUCUCAAAGGUUACUUUUUAUACAUUCUUUUAAGCAAUUUGGAAAAUUGUCUUCAUCCCCUAACACUUCUUUCCCUUCUGCUUCCAUGUACUUCCACUUAAUCUAAAGAUACAAUAGUGAAUAUUGAAAAAGCCAAAUCAGGAACAAGACAAACUUUUUAUCGAUGAAGUUUUCAUUAAGUGUGGCAGCACCUUAUAAAAGGAAUUGCUGAAUCCAUCAUUUUAUGGAGGUUAUAAAUCCAGGUGGUUUUUUGCAAUCACAAUUUACAGAUCUCAAUAGUGUUCACUUGCAUCAUAUGUGAAGACAGCUAUGGCAUAGUUGCAGGUGGCUAGAUGAAAGCUUAAUAUAUGUAUGUUGGCUUUACACCUAUGAAGCAGGUGCAAAGGCAGAAGUUCUUUUCUUGCUUUCCUGGCCAGGACGUAAUUUGUGUUGCAAAUUAAAGUCAUUCAUUUUCAAUUUUUUUCUAACUUUCCAACAGCUGAACUGUAUAUGUAGAGACAUGAAAAUGCAAAACUUUCAGUCUAAGAACAGAAUAAGAAUGAGAGUAAUUGGAUUUUCCACAUAUUUGUGAUUUCUUUCAGUGAAUAUUAAAGAAAAAAAUUUGGGCUGAAACCUUGCAGUAGAUGGGACCAAAAAAGGUACAUUUUCUUCCAGAGUCAUAUGGUGACCAGAUCUCUUACACGGUGAGCAGAAGAAAAUCAAACCAAAUGUGUUGCCAUGUUCGAACAGACAGUUCAGCUGGCACACAUACUUACUGUUUCCUUGAUCCAGAUACAAAAUUGCUUCUUCUGGAGAAGUGUUAUGUGUAGAUCCCAAGGUAAGUUUUCUUGAAG